Molecule: ribosomal RNA, 19 nt
Filed under: Stereophaedusa jacobiana
Lineage: Eukaryota; Metazoa; Mollusca; Gastropoda; Stylommatophora; Clausiliidae
Description: Phaedusa jacobiana partial 5.8S rRNA
Source: RNAcentral
AAACCCAGAUUUGACAUAC